This 461-nucleotide ribosomal RNA is filed under the name uncultured bacterium. RNAcentral describes it as "bacterial SSU rRNA". It matches the Rfam family "Bacterial small subunit ribosomal RNA", at positions 61 to 504 of the family's 1533-position model. The record is from RNAcentral.
GUCGAACGCGCAGCGAAAGGUGCUUGCACCUUUCAAGCGAGUGGCGAACGGGUGAGUAACACGUGGAUAACCUGCCUCAAGGCUGGGGAUAACAUUUGGAAACAGAUGCUAAUACCGAAUAAAACUUAGUAUCGCAUGAUACAAAGUUGAAAGGCGCUACGGCGUCACCUAGAGAUGGGUCCGCGGUGCAUUAGUUAGUUGGUGGGGUAAAGGCCUACCAAGACAAUGAUGCAUAGCCGAGUUGAGAGACUGAUCGGCCACAUUGGGACUGAGACACGGCCCAAACUCCUACGGGAGGCUGCAGUAGGGAAUCUUCCACAAUGGGCGAAAGCCUGAUGGAGCAACGCCGCGUGUGUGAUGAAGGCUUUCGGGUCGUAAAGCACUGUUGUAUGGGAAGAAAUGCUAGAAUAGGGAAUGAUUCUAGUUCGACGGUACCAUACCAGAAAGGGACGGCUAAAUAC